CCCACGGCUUACGCCGUGGGCUGCAUUCUUUCGCCCCUUCGGGGCU
This 46-nucleotide small RNA is filed under the name Acidobacteriia bacterium SbA2. RNAcentral describes it as "Solibacteres bacterium SbA2 Acido-Lenti-1". It matches the Rfam family "Acido-Lenti-1 RNA". Lineage: Bacteria; Pseudomonadati; Acidobacteriota; Terriglobia. The record is from RNAcentral.